Molecule: ribosomal RNA, 331 nt
Filed under: uncultured bacterium
Lineage: Bacteria
Description: bacterial SSU rRNA
Rfam family: Bacterial small subunit ribosomal RNA
Source: RNAcentral
CACGUAGAUGGCUUUGUAAGUCGGAUGUGAAAUCCCUGGGCUCAACCUGGGAACUGCAUUCGAAACUGCAUUGCUCGAAUGUGGAAGAGGGAAGCGGAAUUCCAGGUGUAGCGGUGAAAUGCGUAGAUAUCUGGAGGAACAUCAGUGGCGAAGGCGGCUUCCUGGUCCAACAUUGACAUUCAGGUGCGAAAGCGUGGGGAGCAAACAGGAUUAGAUACCCUGGUAGUCCACGCCGUAAACGAUGUGCGCUGGAUGUUGGGCGACCUAGUCGCUCAGUGUCGCAGCUAACGCGAUAAGCGCACCGCCUGGGGAGUACGGCCGCAAGGUUGAA